ACGGGGCGCAGCAGGCGCGAAACCUUUACACUGUACGCAAGUGCGAUAAGGGGACUCCGAGUGUGAAGGCAUAGAGCCUUCACUUUUGUACACCGUAAGGUGGUGUACGAAUAAGGGCUGGGCAAGACCGGUGCCAGCCGCCGCGGUAAUACCGGCAGCCCGAGUGAUGGCCGAUAUUAUUGGGCCUAAAGCGUCCGUAGCUGGCCGGACAAGUCCGUUGGGAAAUCUGUUCGCUUAACGAGCAGGCGUCCAGCGGAAACUGUUCGGCUUGGGACCGGAAGACCUGAGGGGUACGUCCGGGGUAGGAGUGAAAUCCUGUAAUCCUGGACGGACCACCGGUGGCGAAAGCGCCUCAGGAGGACGGAUCCGACAGUGAGGGACGAARGCUAGGGUCUCGAACCGGAUUAGAUACCCGCGUAGUCC
This 423-nucleotide ribosomal RNA is filed under the name uncultured archaeon. RNAcentral describes it as "bacterial SSU rRNA". It matches the Rfam family "Archaeal small subunit ribosomal RNA", at positions 325 to 747 of the family's 1478-position model. The record is from RNAcentral.